Molecule: ribosomal RNA, 403 nt
Filed under: bacterium
Lineage: Bacteria
Description: partial 16S ribosomal RNA
Rfam family: Bacterial small subunit ribosomal RNA
Source: RNAcentral
UGGGGAAUAUUGCACAAUGGGGGAAACCCUGAUGCAGCGACGCCGCGUGAACGAAGAAGGUAUUCGUAUCGUAAAGUUCUGUCCUAUGGGAAGAUAAUGACAGUAGCAUAGAAGAAAGCUCCGGCUAAAUACGUGCCAGCAGCCGCGGUAAUACGUAUGGAGCGAGCGUUGUCCGGAAUUAUUGGGCGUAAAGGGUACGCAGGCGGUUUAAUAAGUCGAAUGUUAAAGAUCGGGGCUCAACCCCGUAAAGCAUUGGAAACUGAUAAACUUGAGUAGUGGAGAGGAAAGUGGAAUUCCUAGUGUAGUGGUGAAAUACGUAGAUAUUAGGAGGAAUACCAGUAGCGAAGGCGACUUUCUGGACACAAACUGACGCUGAGGUACGAAAGCGUGGGGAGCAAACAGG